Lactuca sativa (garden lettuce) is the source of this 481-nucleotide long non-coding RNA. RefSeq lists it as uncharacterized. The record is from RefSeq and is a predicted model, not a curated record. NCBI's taxonomy places the organism in Eukaryota, Viridiplantae, Streptophyta, Magnoliopsida, Asterales, Asteraceae.
AUACUUACAAGGUAUAGCAAUUUGGUGGCAACUGAUUUACAUUAAGUGAUUGAUUGAAAGUUGUGUUGAAAGCAAUGGCAUCAAGCACUAGUUUUGUUGUUGUUCUACUUGGCUUCUUUUUACUUGUUUCGUCAUUCACUGCCAUCCCAAUCUCAAGAACUAUAAAUCUAAUUGAUGAAGGGUCUCUUGAAGUUUCAAGCAACACAGACUUGAAUGUAGAAGACAACUGGGAUGAGACCAUGUUAUCAAGAAGGAUGGUUUUAACAAGUGAUUAUCCAGGAUCCGGUGCGAAUGAUCGUCACACACCAAGGCCAUAAGCAUGGAUACGAAAGCAAUUUAACGUUGAAAUGAUUUAAAAUAAAAACAAUUAGCCAUUGUAUAUCAAAUAAACAACUGAUUUAUUUUAAUUCGUGUGAACAAGGUUUUGAAUGUAAGAAAUAUGUCAUGGUUGGAGAGUGAAUGAUUUGUGUUGCUAUUAUGA